Molecule: ribosomal RNA, 755 nt
Filed under: uncultured Sediminibacterium sp.
Lineage: Bacteria; Pseudomonadati; Bacteroidota; Chitinophagia; Chitinophagales; Chitinophagaceae
Description: bacterial SSU rRNA
Rfam family: Bacterial small subunit ribosomal RNA
Source: RNAcentral
GAUGAACGCUAGCGGCAGGCUUAAUACAUGCAAGUCGAGGGGCAGCAGCUUUAUAGCAAUAUAGAGGCUGGCGACCGGCAAACGGGUGCGGAACACGUACACAACCUUCCUUGAAUAGGGGGAUAGCCCAUAGAAAUGUGGAUUAAUACCCCGUAAUAUAGCGGUGUGGCAUCACACUGUUAUUAUAGUUUCGGCGAUUCGAGAUGGGUGUGCGGCUGAUUAGGUAGUUGGCGGGGUAAAGGCCCACCAAGCCUUCGAUCAGUAGCUGAUGUGAGAGCAUGAUCAGCCACACGGGCACUGAGACACGGGCCCGACUCCUACGGGAGGCAGCAGUAAGGAAUAUUGGUCAAUGGACGCAAGUCUGAACCAGCCAUGCCGCGUGAAGGAUGAAGGUCCUCUGGAUUGUAAACUUCUUUUAUAGGGGGCGAAAAAAGGUCUUUCUAGAUCACUUGACAGUACCCUAUGAAUAAGCACCGGCUAACUCCGUGCCAGCAGCCGCGGUAAUACGGAGGGUGCAAGCGUUAUCCGGAUUCACUGGGUUUAAAGGGUGCGUAGGCGGGUAGGUAAGUCAGAGGUGAAAUCCUGGAGCUUAACUCCAGAACUGCCUUUGAUACUAUCUAUCUUGAAUAUGGUGGAGGUAAGCGGAAUAUGUCAUGUAGCGGUGAAAUGCAUAGAUAUGACAUAGAACGCCUAUUGCGAGGGCAGCUUACUACGCCUAUAUUGACGCUGAGGCACGAAAGCGUGGGGAUCAAACA